GACGAACGCUGGCGGCGUGCCUAAUACAUGCAAGUAGAACGCUGAAGAGAGGAGCUUGCUCUUCUUGGAUGAGUUGCGAACGGGUGAGUAACGCGUAGGUAACCUGCCUGGUAGCGGGGGAUAACUAUUGGAAACGAUAGCUAAUACCGCAUGAUAUUAAUUAUCGCAUGAUAAUUAAUUGAAAGAUGCAAUUGCAUCACUACCAGAUGGACCUGCGUUGUAUUAGCUAGUUGGUGAGGUAACGGCUCACCAAGGCGACGAUACAUAGCCGACCUGAGAGGGUGAUCGGCCACACUGGGACUGAGACACGGCCCAGACCUCCUACGGGAGGCAGCAGUAGGGAAUCUUCGGCAAUGGGGGGAACCCUGACCGAGCAACGCCGCGUGAGUGAAGAAGGUUUUCGGAUCGUAAAGCUCUGUUGUAAGAGAAGAACGGGUGUGAGAGUGGAAAGUUCACACUGUGACGUAUCUACCAGAAA
Molecule: ribosomal RNA, 478 nt
Filed under: Streptococcus sanguinis
Lineage: Bacteria; Bacillati; Bacillota; Bacilli; Lactobacillales; Streptococcaceae
Description: bacterial SSU rRNA
Rfam family: Bacterial small subunit ribosomal RNA
Source: RNAcentral